GGCCUGGUGGUGUAGAGGCAACAUACCUGCUACGUUUAUACAGACAGAUACGCAGUAUUCCGCAGGAGUCCCUUGUUCGAUUCGAGGGCAGGCCA
Mycena rosella is the source of this 95-nucleotide non-coding RNA. The record is from the annotation of a GenBank genome assembly. Lineage: Eukaryota; Fungi; Basidiomycota; Agaricomycetes; Agaricales; Mycenaceae.